This 466-nucleotide ribosomal RNA is filed under the name uncultured bacterium. RNAcentral describes it as "partial 16S ribosomal RNA". It matches the Rfam family "Bacterial small subunit ribosomal RNA", at positions 28 to 505 of the family's 1533-position model. The record is from RNAcentral.
GACGAACGCUGGCGGCGUGCUUAACACAUGCAAGUCGAACGGAAAGGCCCUGCUUUUGUGGGGUGCUCGAGUGGCGAACGGGUGAGUAACACGUGAGUAACCUGCCCUUGACUUUGGGAUAACUUCAGGAAACUGGGGCUAAUACCGGAUAGGAGCUCCUGCUGCAUGGUGGGGGUUGGAAAGUUUCGGCGGUUGGGGAUGGACUCGCGGCUUAUCAGCUUGUUGGUGGGGUAGUGGCUUACCAAGGCUUUGACGGGUAGCCGGCCUGAGAGGGUGACCGGCCACAUGGGGACUGGGAUCCGGCCCAGACCCCUGGGGGGGGCAGGGGGGGGGAAUAUUGCACGGGGGGGGGAGGCUUUUGGCACCAACCCCGCGGGGGGGAUGAGGGCCUUGGGGUUGAAACCCGCUUCCCCCUGGGACGAAGCGGGAGGGCGGGUAAGGGGAAAAAAAGCACCGGCAAACUACG